Non-coding RNA from Myotis davidii, 76 nucleotides. The record is from Rfam. Lineage: Eukaryota; Metazoa; Chordata; Mammalia; Chiroptera; Vespertilionidae.
GGUGGUUCUUGGGUGACGCACCCUGGAAUUGGGCUCCCUCCUCCUCUAGUUCUGGGUUCGUCACCUGAGAACCACA